Molecule: ribosomal RNA, 893 nt
Filed under: uncultured bacterium
Lineage: Bacteria
Description: bacterial SSU rRNA
Rfam family: Bacterial small subunit ribosomal RNA
Source: RNAcentral
AGAGUUUGAUCCUGGCUCAGGACGAACGCUGGCGGCGUGCUUAACACAUGCAAGUCGAACGAUGAAGCCCUUCGGGGUGGAUUAGUGGCGAACGGGUGAGUAACACGUGGGCAAUCUGCCCUGCACUCUGGGACAAGCCCUGGAAACGGGGUCUAAUACCGGAUAACACCCCCUCUCGCAUGGGAGGGGGUUGAAAGCUCCGGCGGUGCAGGAUGAGCCCGCGGCCUAUCAGCUUGUUGGUGAGGUAGAAGCUCACCAAGGCGACGACGGGUAGCCGGCCUGAGAGGGCGACCGGCCACACUGGGACUGAGACACGGCCCAGACUCCUACGGGAGGCAGCAGUGGGGAAUAUUGCACAAUGGGCGAAAGCCUGAUGCAGCGACGCCGCGUGAGGGAUGACGGCCUUCGGGUUGUAAACCUCUUUCAGCAGGGAAGAAGCGAAAGUGACGGUACCUGCAGAAGAAGCGCCGGCUAACUACGUGCCAGCAGCCGCGGUAAUACGUAGGGCGCAAGCGUUGUCCGGAAUUAUUGGGCGUAAAGAGCUCGUAGGCGGCUUGUCACGUCGGUUGUGAAAGCCCGGGGCUUAACCCCGGGUCUGCAGUCGAUACGGGCAGGCUAGAGUGUGGUAGGGGAGAUCGGAAUUCCUGGUGUAGCGGUGAAAUGCGCAGGUAUCAGGAGGAACACCGGUGGCGAAGGCGGAUCUCUGGGCCAUUACUGACGCUGAGGAGCGAAAGCGUGGGGAGCGAACAGGAUUAGAUACCCUGGUAGUCCACGCCGUAAACGGUGGGAACUAGGUGUUGGCGACAUUCCACGUCGUCGGUGCCGCAGCUAACGCAUUAAGUUCCCCGCCUGGGGAGUACGGCCGCAAGGCUAAAACUCAAAGGAAUUGACGG